RNAcentral lists this ribosomal RNA (460 nucleotides) under Cleora scriptaria. RNAcentral describes it as "partial 28S ribosomal RNA". The record is from RNAcentral. Lineage: Eukaryota; Metazoa; Arthropoda; Insecta; Lepidoptera; Geometridae.
UUCAAGAGUACGUGAAACCGUCCAGGGGUAAACCUGCGAAACUCGAAUGAACGAACGGGGAGAUUCAUCGUCAUUCCGCGGCGCGACGGCGCACGGCGGAUGGUCGCGGCCUCGGCCGCGGUCACCGCCCGCGUCGUCCGCGUCCGCGGAGGGCGUGCACUUCUCCCUCAGUAAUACAUCGCGACCCGUUCGAUGUCGGUCUAAGUGCCCCGCCGGGAGCCUGCGCGUCGUUCGCGACGUGCAGACCGGCCGGGUGCACCGACCGGCCGUCGGACGGUAGAACAUAUGAAACGCUCACGCGCUUGUGCGCGUCCGGCCCGACGCAAGUCAACGUCGUAUCUUGCGCCCUGCCAAAGUGCGGACGCGAGUGCGGCGCGACUGUCGUCGCAGCCGUGCUGUCUCGGACCGUGUGCGUAUCCGUCUGCGAUGAUUCAGUUUCGGGCACUCGCAGGACCCGUAU